GGAGGCGCCAGUAGGGCCUCUUCCGCAAUGGGCUCAAGCCUGUCCGGCGCAACGCCGCGUGUCGCUCGGCCGGCCUUCGGGUCGUCUCGCUCUGUUGUGCGGGCCUCCCUCGUGCAGGCGUUCACUGUCUGCACGCUGACGGUACCUCACGCGGAAAGCCCCGGCUCACUCCGUGCCAGCAGCCGCGGUAAU
RNAcentral lists this ribosomal RNA (192 nucleotides) under uncultured bacterium. RNAcentral's name for it is "partial 16S ribosomal RNA". It matches the Rfam family "Bacterial small subunit ribosomal RNA", at positions 344 to 524 of the family's 1533-position model. The record is from RNAcentral.